UACGUAGGCAGCAAGCGUUGUUCGGAGUUACUGGGCGUAAAGGGUGUGUAGGCGGUUCUUUAAGUUUGGUGUGAAAUCCCUCAGCUUAACUGGGGAACUGCGUCCGAUACUGGAUGGCUUGAGUUUGGGAGAGGGAUGCGGAAUUCCAGGUGUAGCGGUGAAAUGCGUAGAUAUCUGGAGGAACACCGGUGGCGAAGGCGGCAUCCUGGACCAACACUGACACUGAGGAGCGAAAGCCAGGGGAGCAAACGGG
RNAcentral lists this ribosomal RNA (253 nucleotides) under uncultured bacterium. RNAcentral describes it as "partial 16S ribosomal RNA". It matches the Rfam family "Bacterial small subunit ribosomal RNA", at positions 524 to 776 of the family's 1533-position model. The record is from RNAcentral.